RNAcentral lists this ribosomal RNA (460 nucleotides) under uncultured bacterium. RNAcentral's name for it is "partial 16S ribosomal RNA". It matches the Rfam family "Bacterial small subunit ribosomal RNA", at positions 338 to 795 of the family's 1533-position model. The record is from RNAcentral.
CCUACGGGAGGCUGCAGUGAGGAAUAUUGGUCAAUGGGCUUACGCCUGAACCAGCCAAGCCGCGUGAGUGAAGACUGCCCUAUGGGUUGUAAAUCCUUUUUGUCAGGGAGCAAUUGGCGCUACGUGUAGCGUUAUCGAGUGUACUUGCAGAAAAAGCAUCCGCUAACUCCGUGCCAGCAGCCGCGGUAAUACGGAGGAUGCGAGCGUUAUCCGGAUUUAUUGGGUUUAAAGGGUGCGUAGGCGGAAUGCCAAGUCAGCGGUAAAAUCGCGGGGCUCAACCGCGCUCCGCCGUUGAAACCGGCGUGCUUGAGUGGGCGAGAAGUAUGCGGAAUGCGUGGUGUAGCGGUGAAAUGCAUAGAUAUCACGCGGAACUCCGAUUGCGAAGGCAGCAUACCGGCGCCCAACUGACGCUGAAGCACGAAAGCGUGGGUAUCGAACAGGAUUAGAUACCCUUGUAGUC